UGGAUGCAUUGUUCAGGCAAACUACAGAGCCAGGUCAACAAUGAUGAUGGCAGCCUUCUUCUCCCUCACAGCUCCAUUCGGCAUAAUGCUCGGCAUCCUGACUGCAUCCAGCUAUGACCCGAAGAGCUCCACCGCCCUCAUCGUCGAAGGCGGCUUCGGUGCUGCCUCCGCCGGAAUCCUUAUCUACAUGGCUCUCGUCGACUUCUUGGCUGCUGACUUCAUGAACCCGAGGAUGCAAAGCAGUGGACGGCUUCAGUUGGGAGCUAAUGUCGCCG
Molecule: unclassified non-coding RNA, 275 nt
Filed under: Hevea brasiliensis (rubber tree)
Lineage: Eukaryota; Viridiplantae; Streptophyta; Magnoliopsida; Malpighiales; Euphorbiaceae
Source: RNAcentral